This 57-nucleotide transfer RNA is filed under the name Zootermopsis nevadensis. It matches the Rfam family "tRNA", at positions 9 to 63 of the family's 71-position model. From Rfam's summary of the family: Transfer RNA (tRNA) molecules are approximately 80 nucleotides in length. Their secondary structure includes four short double-helical elements and three loops (D, anti-codon, and T loops). Lineage: Eukaryota; Metazoa; Arthropoda; Insecta; Blattodea; Termopsidae. The record is from Rfam by way of RNAcentral.
GGUCUAGUGGUUAGAACGCUGGCCUUGUAAUCCUGGGGUUCCGGGUUCGAUUCCCGG